This is a non-coding RNA of Gossypium arboreum, 146 nucleotides long. Lineage: Eukaryota; Viridiplantae; Streptophyta; Magnoliopsida; Malvales; Malvaceae. The record is from Rfam.
UGUCCACAAAAAAUUCAUCCGUUUCUACUAUUAUAAACUAGUUUGACUAACAAAAUAACUAAAUAGUUACACGUCGCAUGCCACAUGUACCUCAUGCUGACAUACAGGGCAAUUUUUAAUUGUAGAAAUAGAUGAAAUUUUUAACA